GAUGAACGCUGGCGGCGUGCCUAAUACAUGCAAGUCGAGCGAACGGACGAGAAGCUUGCUUCUCUGAUGUUAGCGGCGGACGGGUGAGUAACACGUGGAUAACCUACCUAUAAGACUGGGAUAACUUCGGGAAACCGGAGCUAAUACCGGAUAAUAUUUUGAACCGCAUGGUUCAAAAGUGAAAGACGGUCUUGCUGUCACUUAUAGAUGGAUCCGCGCUGCAUUAGCUAGUUGGUAAGGUAACGGCUUACCAAGGCAACGAUGCAUAGCCGACCUGAGAGGGGAAUGGGCCAACGGGAAAAUGGGCAAGGUCCCAAGCUCAGAGGGGGGGCAGGAGAAGGGAAUCUUGCGGAAUGGGCAAAAGCCUAACGAGGCAACGCCGGGUGAGUGAUGAAGAUCUUGGGAUCGUAAAACUUUUUUAUUAGGGAAAAAAAUAUGUUAAAGUAACUUUGCCCCUUUUGGCUGUACCUAAACAGAAAGCCACGGCUACCUACGG
RNAcentral lists this ribosomal RNA (496 nucleotides) under uncultured bacterium. Its description in RNAcentral is "partial 16S ribosomal RNA". It matches the Rfam family "Bacterial small subunit ribosomal RNA", at positions 28 to 506 of the family's 1533-position model. The record is from RNAcentral.